CACGUAGGGCGCAAGCGUUGUCCGGAAUUACUGGGCGUAAAGCGUGCGUAGACGGCUAUCUAAGUCGGGUGUGAAAGCCCCGGGCUCAACCUGGGAAUUGCAUUCGAGACUGAAUAGCUAGGGUACGGUAGAGGGAAGCGGAAUUUCCGGUGUAGCGGUGAAAUGCGUAGAUAUCGGAAGGAACAUCAGUGGCGAAAGCGGCUUCCUGGACCAGUACCGACGUUCAGGCACGAAAGCGUGGGGAGCAAACAGG
RNAcentral lists this ribosomal RNA (253 nucleotides) under uncultured bacterium. RNAcentral describes it as "partial 16S ribosomal RNA". It matches the Rfam family "Bacterial small subunit ribosomal RNA", at positions 524 to 776 of the family's 1533-position model. The record is from RNAcentral.